UACGUAGGGUGCGAGCGUUAAUCGGAAUUACUGGGCGUAAAGCGUACGCAGGCGGUUCGCAAAGUCUGAUGUGAAAGCCCCGGGCUCAACCUGGGAACUGCAUUGGAAACUAACGGGCUCGAGUGUGGCAGAGGGGGGUGGAAUUCCACGUGUAGCAGUGAAAUGCGUAGAGAUGUGGAGGAACACCGAUGGCGAAGGCAGCCCCCUGGGCUAACACUGACGCUCAGGCACGAAAGCGUGGGGAGCAAACAGG
RNAcentral lists this ribosomal RNA (253 nucleotides) under uncultured bacterium. Its description in RNAcentral is "partial 16S ribosomal RNA". It matches the Rfam family "Bacterial small subunit ribosomal RNA", at positions 524 to 776 of the family's 1533-position model. The record is from RNAcentral.